RNAcentral lists this ribosomal RNA (114 nucleotides) under Orobdella naraharaetmagarum. Its description in RNAcentral is "partial 16S ribosomal RNA". The record is from RNAcentral. Lineage: Eukaryota; Metazoa; Annelida; Clitellata; Hirudinida; Orobdellidae.
UAUAAAUACUUAUUAUAAAUCAUUAAUAAAAUACUUGUUAUUAAUAUAAGAAAUCUUAUAAUACACUUUUUAAAUAUAGUAUUAGAAAAUCUAAAUAUUAAAAAGUAAAUAUAU